This 542-nucleotide long non-coding RNA is filed under the name Arabidopsis thaliana (thale cress). Its description in RNAcentral is "long non-coding RNA (ATHA_LNC000386)". The record is from RNAcentral. Lineage: Eukaryota; Viridiplantae; Streptophyta; Magnoliopsida; Brassicales; Brassicaceae.
ACUUCCACCCUUCCACCAUUUGUGCUAUAUAGAGGCCUGGGGGUUCGGUUAUAUCGGUUUAAUCGGGUUUUCGGUUUUUUCGGAUUUUUAAAAUUUUGCCGAAUUGGAUCGAACAAAAAUUAUUCGGUUCGGUUCUCGGUUUUUUCGGUUCGGUUAUGGACUAAAAAUUGUGUUCCAAAUUGAACUGAAUAAUUGUUAUUUUUCGGUUUAUUAGGUUAACCGAAAAUAAUUUUCAUAUUAUAGCUAUACAUAACAAACAAUCCAAGACAAUUUACAAGCCACCAUCAUUGUCGGAGCUCUACCAUCAUCGUCAACGCACAACCACCAUCGCAUAAUCUUCUCGUCGAAAAAAAUAAAAUAAAAGAAAUAAAUAAAUCGCUGACAUAAAAGAAAAAUAAUUCAAAUGAGAAGAUCAAGUGAUCGAGGAAGAAGCAUUCACCUAAGACCUGGAGUAAAUAAAUCAAGAGUGUAUACAAUGAUAUAGAGAGAAGCCACUAGAUCCAAAAUUCUUAAGAAAAGAGGUGGAAGAAGAAGAAAAAACA